Molecule: long non-coding RNA, 1346 nt
Organism: Helianthus annuus (common sunflower)
Lineage: Eukaryota; Viridiplantae; Streptophyta; Magnoliopsida; Asterales; Asteraceae
Exons: 3
Source: RefSeq, a predicted model, not a curated record
UUUGGUCUAAACCUACCAUUCAAUUCAAUUCAUUCUCAUUUAUCAAAUUGGCCCCCAUAUACCGCCAACCCCUUAUAAAUAUGACCAUACCCCUUCCUUUUCUUUCCACUGCCAUGCCAUAUGUAUUAUAUACCCACAUAUAUACAUAUACGUAUAUACGCAUAUACAUACAUACAUACAUACACACACAUGUAUGUAUGUGUGUAAGGAAACAGUUGCAUGCAUCUAUAAAAAAGGUUCGAAAGAACAUGUUAUUGUAGAUGGAUGUUGACGAGACAGACAAAACAGUAGAAAAGAAUCUGUAAAGCUCAGGAGGGAUAGCGCCUAUAUAUGGCAUGUAUGCAUACUUUUACGUAUGGUGUCUAUCAAAGGCGCUGUCUAUCCUGAGCCUCACGGCUUCUUUUUACUCCAUCCCUGCCAAUAAAGUUGCCACCAACAAAUCUAUUCAUAUCCCGGUCCUGAUGUGGGAAUGCUCAACGACUUGAUUAAUACAACGGCUAAGGAGGCAGUUUAACUUUUAAGAGACGAAGUUGAAUCGUCCUAGCCACGUACAAGACAAGGACCCCUUGAACGAGAUUGGUUGAGUGCUCAUCAACGUUUGGUAGCUGAUUUUUUUUUGCUCAAAGCCCUUUGUAUGAUGAUACACACUUUCGGCAUCACUUUCGUAUGAGUCGUCUUUUAUAGAAUGUUAGGCAAUUUAGAACACGAGUUUACAUGUUUCAAACAAAUAGAAGAUGCUAGACGGAAACUUGGAUUCUCUAGUUUGCAAAAAUGUACAGUUGCAAUUCGUCAGCUGGCGUACGACAUGGGACGAGUAUUCUUUUAGUUUAUUAUUAUUAUUUUUAUUAUUAUUGAUGUAAUUUGUAAUACUUUAAUAUAAUUCGGUUAUCAACUUCUACGGAAGGUGAUAUUUGAAGAAUCGGGCGUCUACUAACAUCCCAUAUUUAUAUGAAGUCUACCAACGAAUACACGGGUUUCCCGGGAUGAUAAGUAGCCUAGACUGUUAGCAUUGGCCGUGGGGUGCUUGUCAAACUGUUUGAAAAGGCCAACACCAUUAAGGGUGUCUUAAAUGAAUUGUGGAUGUUGACUCCUUUCAUAACUUCGUUUGGAUCACGUCUUCUAUAUUACUAUAUUUUACUCUCUCCCUCCACAUAUUAUUCUUUUAAAAUAUUUUAAUUUUGUCGCAAGUGUUUCUACGGUACGACUAAAUGACGUGUGUCUACGAAUUUGGACAGUAGGAAUAUAUUCCCGAUCGAAAUGGGACCGUCAUAUGUAACAUCAAUCCCUUUCUCAUGUUUCCCAACUUAGAUUAUUAUUAUGAAAUGAAAUCAAAUGUAACACUAUAA